This 70-nucleotide transfer RNA is filed under the name Bos taurus (domestic cattle). It matches the Rfam family "tRNA". From Rfam's summary of the family: Transfer RNA (tRNA) molecules are approximately 80 nucleotides in length. Lineage: Eukaryota; Metazoa; Chordata; Mammalia; Artiodactyla; Bovidae. RNAcentral also lists the same sequence under 2 other names. The record is from Rfam by way of RNAcentral.
CCUCAGAGCUUAGUUGGUAAAGAAUCUGCCUGCAAUGCAGGAGACCUGGCUUCGAUUCCUAGGCUGAGAA